Molecule: non-coding RNA, 27 nt
Filed under: Mus musculus (house mouse)
Lineage: Eukaryota; Metazoa; Chordata; Mammalia; Rodentia; Muridae
Source: RNAcentral
UGGUCACUUCUAGUUCAACAGAAUCCC